GUGGGGAAUAUUGGACAAUGGGCGAAAGCCUGAUCCAGCCAUGCCGCGUGUGUGAAGAAGGUCUUCGGAUUGUAAAGCACUUUAAGUUGGGAGGAAGGGUAGUAACCUAAUACGUUGCUACUUUGACGUUACCGACAGAAUAAGCACCGGCUAACUUCGUGCCAGCAGCCGCGGUAAUACGAAGGGUGCAAGCGUUAAUCGGAAUUACUGGGCGUAAAGCGCGCGUAGGUGGUUCAGUAAGUUGGAAGUGAAAUCCCCGGGCUCAACCUGGGAACUGCUUUCAAAACUGCUGAGCUAGAGUACGGUAGAGGGUGGUGGAAUUUCCUGUGUAGCGGUGAAAUGCGUAGAUAUAGGAAGGAACACCAGUGGCGAAGGCGACCACCUGGACUGAUACUGACACUGAGGUACGAAAGCGUGGGGAGCAAACAGGAUUAGAAACCCGAGUAGUCC
Molecule: ribosomal RNA, 450 nt
Filed under: uncultured bacterium
Lineage: Bacteria
Description: partial 16S ribosomal RNA
Rfam family: Bacterial small subunit ribosomal RNA
Source: RNAcentral